RNAcentral lists this ribosomal RNA (253 nucleotides) under uncultured bacterium. RNAcentral describes it as "partial 16S ribosomal RNA". It matches the Rfam family "Bacterial small subunit ribosomal RNA", at positions 524 to 776 of the family's 1533-position model. The record is from RNAcentral.
UACGUAGGUGGCAAGCGUUGUCCGGAUUUAUUGGGUUUAAAGGGUGCGUAGGCGGCUUUGUAAGUCAGUGGUGAAAUAUGGCAGCUUAACUGUCAAGGUGCCAUUGAUACUGCGGAGCUUGAGUACAGAUGAGGUAGGCGGAAUUGACGGUGUAGCGGUUAAAUGCUUAGAUAUCGUCAAGAACACCUAUAGCGAAGGCAGCUUACUAGGCUGUAACUGACGCUGAGGCACGAAAGUGUGGGGAUCAAACAGG